This is a long non-coding RNA of Alligator mississippiensis (American alligator), 2167 nucleotides long. RefSeq lists it as uncharacterized. NCBI's taxonomy places the organism in Eukaryota, Metazoa, Chordata, Crocodylia, Alligatoridae. The record is from RefSeq and is a predicted model, not a curated record. The transcript is spliced from 4 exons.
UGAAACUGGAGCUGCCUCCAUAUAAACAGGGCAGUUCUGCUGCUGGAGGUUAGGCAACAGCAUUGCUUGGCUGCAGGGCUGAAGGGCUCUACUCUGCAUGACUCCUAAACAGCUAAGGAAUGAAUUCUCUUCAAAGUCUCUCAGAAUUCAUGUGCAAGAGACAAAACUUUGGCAUUCUGGAGCCCAUCUAUCUACUGUUAAAGCUCUCCAAACUGCUGUUGCAUGUGUAGUCUGCAGUGGGGUAAAAAACAACAGUGGUGCAAAAACACUGAAGGAGUAUGAGCCACUUCAGAGAUGAGCCAGCUGUGCUGAGCCCCUAAAAAUUUUCUAAUGAAGAUGUGGACCCCUUUGGCAAUUUCAAAUGGAAGCGCAGACCCCUUUGAAUUGAAAAUAACCUGUGACUUGCAUUUGGUGUUGAUGAUGGCCUUCCAGAGAAGACAACAUGCAUCUGAGAACAGGAUUAGACCCAGUAAAUGUAUCUGAUUCUGCCAAAUGGUUUCUGUCUUCAGCAGUGAAAUUUCAAGAGAGCUGAACCAUUGCAUAGAUACUUCUGUCACCUAGCACUCUACUCUUAGAAAAAUUCAAAAGCUACAGAACUUAUUCAGAAUGUUUUUUUUCAAAGUGAGCAUCAGUCUAUCUCAUAACAAGGUCAGACUUUUUAUUACUCAAAGAACAAAUUUUUAAAGACACCCAAUUUGACAUGAAAGAGAAUUGGUUCUUUACACAGCCUGCACUAGUACUUCAAAGUCCAAAAAAAGAUUAGUGUUCCUGAUGCUAUGAAUCAUUUAAAAAUAUUCCUGAACUUAUUUAUUCACCUUUAGAGGAACUUGUCUAAACAAUCAGAUAGCUUCAGGAGGUCUCCUGGGACCCAGAGGUUUUUAAAUACAUUAAGAACCUGAAAACAUGUAGGGGGUACACGUGAAUGCACAUGCACCCGCUGAGAUUGGCUGCCACCACCACUGCCAGCAGUGUCUGGGGGCGGUCACUGCUUGCCACCCCCUCCCCCUGCUGACGCUGCCAACCGUGUCUGUGGGCAGUCGCCAAUCGCCACUUGGUGCUUACCACCCCACCACCAACACUGCUGCGGCCGACUGCAGUCAAUCCCCUCUUGCCACCGCUAUGCCCCCACCACUGACACUGCUGCCACUGCCUGUGGGCAGUCACUGUGCCCCCUCAGCCUCAGGAGGCACAAGGCGUUCAUGCUGAAAACUGUAGUUUUGUUGUGAAUUAUGGGUCCUUGCUAUUGGGGGAAAAAAAUCAUUAAGUGUUUUUUGCAUACAGAGAGUGAUAUUCAAAGAGUCUGGUGGCUUGGAAGGAUUUUUGAGGUAGAUAGGGCCAUAAGUUGCAAGUAGUUGGCAUUGGGCUUUUUAAUUUGUAAAUCAGAAGGCAUAAAGCUGAAAUAAUAUAAUCAAAAAACAAAAAAUAGAAGCAAAAAAAGAAAAAAAGCUCUAAUGUUUUCCUGGCUGCAUUAGGAUCGUGAAAUACCAUGCAAACAGAUACUUUUCUUAAAAGUAUAUUGAUAUUUCCAUCUACUGACACACUAGUGAUAUGUGACUAUUUCUCUUUCCAGUUGCUUGGUGUUCUGAAUGAAUCGAUCCCAAAGUAUUGAACAAGUGUCACUAACAUUAACUUUGAGCAAAAAAACCCACCUUCUACAGCAUGUAUAGGCCACUUUUCUCCAUUCUAAUUACUGUUCACCACACUGAAUACUGAUUCCACUGGAUUGUUUAUUCUUGGUAAACACAGAGCUAAUGCUACUCAAUGAAGCAAUAUACUUGGAACUGUUUUAUAAUUAUGCAAAAAAAUUAUUGAUGAAAUAAAUAACCAAAAAUAAAUUUUGCAAAUGUCUUACAAAAAAGAAAUGUCUUAGGGAAAAUGCAAGAAAGAGCCAUUUAGAUGAUCAUAGCAUGGCUAAAACAGUGAUGGUAAAAGACCAGCUUUGCAACUUCCAUGCCCAACUCAGCAACAGGGCAUGUACAAUGAGUUUUUAAUACUGUUCGUAAUGACUGCUCUAAUAGUUUUACUUAGUUUUGGUAUGCCUGGUAUAAAAAUGUAUAAAGUCUGUUUAGUAGUUGUAUUUUUGAUGGUGAAGGACAGUUUACCAUACAAGUAAAAUUUAUUAUUUUCCAAUUACUUAUUGUUUAUUGCAAUGACUGGUAUAAAAUUG